AGAUGUUGGGUUAAGUCCCGCAACGAGCGCAACCCUUGUCAUUAGUUGCUACAUUUAGUUGGGCACUCUAAUGAGACUGCCGGUGACAAACCGGAGGAAGGUGGGGAUGACGUCAAGUCCUCAUGGCCCUUAUAGCCGGGGCUACACACGUCAUACAAUGGCUGGUACAAAGGGUUGCCAACCCGCGAGGGGGAGCUAAUCCCAUAAAACCAGUCGUAGUCCGGAUCGCAGUCUGCAACUCGACUGCGUGAAGUCGGAAUCGCUAGUAAUCGUGGAUCAGAAUGUCACGGUGAAUACGUUCCCGGGUCUUGUACACACCGCCCGUCACACCAUGGGAGCGGUUCUGCCAAGAAGUAGUUAGCCUAACC
Molecule: ribosomal RNA, 368 nt
Filed under: uncultured beta proteobacterium
Lineage: Bacteria; Pseudomonadati; Pseudomonadota; Betaproteobacteria
Description: bacterial SSU rRNA
Rfam family: Bacterial small subunit ribosomal RNA
Source: RNAcentral